AAAGCAGCAGGCGAGCACCGGAAAUGCACACACGAACGCAGUGCGUGCUGUCUGGAGGGAGCCAUUCACAGAAAAUGAGACGUGAUGAACCUACAUAAAUUAGUGAGGACCAGAAAGAGGACACUAGAAUUAUCUAAGGAGCUGCUUGCAUCUGAAACUAGAGGUUGGAUGAGCACUGCUGAAGCUAAGGUUUCUUUGCAUCAAGACCCACAGUGACAACACUGUAAUAUUUGCCUCACCGGGGUCCAGCAGCGCUAGUCAUUAAAUCCAUAUGUGGUCACUUUAGAGGAAAUUCCUCCUGAGACCCAUUGCUGGGAAGAUACGUCUCCUCUCCUUCUAUA
Molecule: long non-coding RNA, 341 nt
Organism: Suricata suricatta (meerkat)
Lineage: Eukaryota; Metazoa; Chordata; Mammalia; Carnivora; Herpestidae
Exons: 3
Source: RefSeq, a predicted model, not a curated record